UACGGAGGGGGCGAGCGUUAUUCGGAAUUAUUGGGCGUAAAGGGCGCGUAGGCGGUCCGACAAGUCAGAGGUGAAAUCCCUCGGCUCAACUGAGGAACUGCCUUUGAAACUGUCGGACUUGAGUCCGGGGGAGGGUAGUGGAAUUCCCAAUGUAGCGGUGAAAUGCGUAGAUAUUGGGAGGAACACCAGUGGCGAAAGCGGCUCACUGGACCAUAACUGACGCUGAUGCACGAAAGCUAGGGGAGCAAACAGG
RNAcentral lists this ribosomal RNA (253 nucleotides) under uncultured bacterium. RNAcentral's name for it is "partial 16S ribosomal RNA". It matches the Rfam family "Bacterial small subunit ribosomal RNA", at positions 524 to 776 of the family's 1533-position model. The record is from RNAcentral.